Molecule: ribosomal RNA, 433 nt
Filed under: uncultured bacterium
Lineage: Bacteria
Description: partial 16S ribosomal RNA
Rfam family: Bacterial small subunit ribosomal RNA
Source: RNAcentral
AACGAACGCUGGCGGCAGGCCUAACACAUGCAAGUCGAGCGAGGACUUCGGUUCUAGCGGCGGACGGGUGAGUAACGCGUGGGAAUGUGCCCUUCUCUACGGAAUAGCCCUGGGAAACUGGGAGUAAUACCGUAUACGCCCUUUUGGGGAAAGAUUUAUCGGAGAAGGAUCAGCCCGCGUUGGAUUAGGUAGUUGGUGGGGUAAUGGCCUACCAAGCCGACGAUCCAUAGCUGGUUUGAGAGGAUGAUCAGCCACACUGGGACUGAGACACGGCCCAGACUCCUACGGGAGGCAGCAGUGGGGAAUCUUAGAAAAUGGGGGCAACCCUGAUCGAGCCAUGCCGCGUGAGUGAUGAAGGCCUUAGGGUUGUAAAGCUCUUUCAGCUGGGAAGAUAAUGACGGUACCAGCAGAAGAAGCCCCGGCUAACUCCGUG